GGAGCUGCCUGCCCCUUUUGCCCUGCAGUCCCUUCUGCUGUGUGAGGACACAGCAUUCAAGGCACCAUCUUGGGAGCAGGGCUGCUGGACCCUCUCCAGACAAAGGACCUGCUGAUAUCUUGAUCCGGAACUUCUCAACCUCUAGAACUAUAUUCUCCAACUGACCGGAUGGGUAAAGUCCUACAGAGGAGGCCACAAGGGGGCUGGAUGGAGAACUUGAGCAGGCAAGAUGCGUUCAUGUGAGAAUUUCCUCGUGUCCCAGAGGGAGGGGGGCAGCCUGGUGACAGGGGACUCCCACAGGUCUGGCCUUCACCUACCAGUACCACCUAUAGCUGUGCUGACCUGGCAGAGGAGCUGAAUUGGACCCCACCCCGUCCUGACACUCAGACCUCUAGGUGACUAUAUUGGAAACAGAGCCUUUAAAGAUGUAAUCAAAUUAAAAUGAGGCCAUCAGGAUGGGCUCUAAUCCACUCCAAUUUGUGUCCUCAUAAGAAAAGGAGAUAAGGACACCAACACGCAGAAGAAAACCAUGUGGGUCCACAGGAAGACGAAGACAGCACAGCCAAGGAGAAGGGUCUCAGUAGGAGUGAGCCCAGGACACCUGACCUCAGACUUCCAGCCUGCUGUGGUGACACCAUAAGUCCCUGUUUAUUUAAGCAGCCCAGUGUGGCACCUUGUCCCUGCUGGCUGGCAAGGUAGACUCAGGCAAUAUACCUGAGCAUGUCACCUCUCCCUCUGAGCCCUAACUUUCUCACCCACAGAGACAGGAAGCCACACCUGACCAUACAGGUCACUGUGAGGCCAUGACACCUCUCAGGUACAGGAUGCUGUCUACAUGGCAGGCCCAGAUGUUAGAAACAGGCUGCCAAGUGAGAGCAGGUAAUGGACAACCUCAGGCCUUAUAUUGACUGUCAUACUCUUCCUCAAAUGGCCCAGGAAAACAGACACAUUAGAAGCCCUCCAUUUUACAGAUGGGAAAACUGAGGCAGGGGCAGUUACAUGGCUUCAUGGUUAGGCAGCAGACUUGGAUGUGCAGUUUUCCCCACAGCUGCUGCUGCUGCUUCUGGACACACAGACCAGCCCCUGCAGCCUGGGCACUCAACUCUCAGCUCUCAGCCCUAGAGGAUCCCAGCAAGUGAACCCCUCCUGACUGGCAUGGUGUGCACAGGUCAGCACCACCAGCAAACACAGCUGGAAGGGGCUACUUCACCAGGUCCAAUCUCUUGAACACCCAGGAGUAAGGGGGUCUGCAUCGACCCCUACACUCCCGAAGCCAGGCCUUCCUCACUCCCUCUCCAAGUUGACCCAAGUCUCUGCUCUCUAUGCAGCCAUCCUGACCUGGGAAUGGAGCCAGGGCCAAGGCCAGGAGUGGCCCCCACCCCUACACUCAGCAGCUGCCUGGGCCCCAGUGCUUCUUAACAUAGGCACCAAUUGUAGUUCCCAGGCAGCCACCCCCUGUGCUCCAGGGACUUUGGCAGGGAUUUGGUUUAACCUUGCAAAGGCCAGACCAUCAACAUCUCAAGCCACCCAGGUACAGGCCCAGUUGUCUACCUUUUCCUGUGCUCACAGAGCCCCUGGCUGGCUCUGCCCUCAGAUCACCCAAGUCAGAGCCAUGCCAACAAAAAUGACCAGGGCAGUGCCUGGGCAACAGACACUGACAGGGCUUUUUAUCACACCUGAGAUCUUUAUGACAACCUUGAACUGGGCAGUAAUUGUCAUGCCGUGUGCAAGCUGAGGAUGCAGAGGUUUGGAGACCUUAGGUCACUUGCCCAAGACAGUGAGGCCAGGUAGGGGCCAAGCUGAGGGUGAAGCCAGGUCUGUGGGACUGGAAAGCUGGGCUCCUCCCUUGUGGGAGUUACAGGCCACACAUAAUGGCUCUGCCCUAGCUGUACUCCCACAGUCUGCCAUCACCCAGCAAGCCACUGUCCUGAGUGGCUCCAAGGCUCAGACAUGCCCUGAGAGCACAAAACAGCUCAUGGUAUGGACCAGGCCCCUUCCAAGUUCUUCACGUGGUACUAAGUCCUGACAGCAACCCACUGAAGCACUAUCAUCACCCUGUCUUGCAGGGAAACUGAAACAUGGGAAGUCACACAGCCUGACAGGUCCCAUCUGGCACUCUAUGUGGCUCUGCUGAUAUUAUUCUGAUGAGGGGUCUAACCCAGUGCUCCUCACUGCUCCACAAUCACUUGGAAGCUGUUAAGAGCAGAGUUCAACAUCCCUGAUAAUCCAACUUGAAUCUCUAGCAAGCUUCCCAGGUGGUGUUUCCGGGUGACCACGUCUUGCAUAACUUCAUCCCAGCAUAGCCCUCAUCAGGACAAAAGUACCCGAUCUUCACAACUGUAGAUCAUGGUCUCAGACCUCAGUGAACAUGCAUCACCAGAGUAUUUAUUUCCAAAUGCAGGUCCCAGGCCACCUCAGAACUUGAAACAGGGAGUGGGAGGGUCUGUGGAGUCUGCAUAUCCCGCCCACACUCCCAAUACUCCUGAAGCAGGGUCAGAGGACCAAACUUUGAGAAAUGGGUUUAGACCUCAUAAGGUUAGUGGUUUCUCCCCUACCAGAUAGAGGGUAUCACCAGUAUCACAGACAAGAAAACUGAGGCACACACUGGCUGAGAGCUAGCCAUGUCACACAGCUAAUGAGAGAGAGAAUAGUAGUACCCUGAUCAAGGUCCACAGCUGGAACUGGGGGAGCAAAAGCUGUACCCUGACUCCCACCUCCAAAUUCUGCACUAAUGCGGCCACACUGCUGGGUCUCAGUAGUGCACCACAGUGCCACUUCCCCUCUCCGUGCCCUGCUGUGCUUUCCAUGACAAAAUGUAUGUUUACUUACUUCCUAUUUUCCCUAGGAUGUAAGUUCCAAGUACAUAUACCUGGGUCUGUUUUGUUCCUUGCUGCCUCUUCUGUGCAUGUAAAAGGCUCUGCAUAAAGACUUGUGGAAUGAGUGAAUAAAUGGCUCAGUAACAACAGGGAACAAUCAUGAGGCACUGAGUGUGUGCCAGAUCCCAAGACAGGAGCCAGGGAUCCUGUCCUGAAGUCCUUGGGACCCCUGACAAAGUAGGUUAGUUAUUACGCCCUUACAGAUGAGGACAUGAAAGCAGAGAAGUAAAGUAAGCUACGUUCAGCCACACAGCUAGAGGGUGGUGGUGCUGGGUCAGAUGGCCUGGAGAAGUCAAGGAAGAUCAUGCAAGAAGAUUGUAAACAGAGAAGAAGAGCCAGGGAAGCUAACAGGAAGCUCCUCAGGCCAGAAACUGGCCACUGCAUUCAGCAACAAUGGAGUCAGUGAAACUUCAGUUUGUGGGUGGGGGCUGGGGAGAGGGGCAUAAAGCACAGGACAUGGCUUCCAGGAGGAGGUGCACUGAGGCCUCAUCAAUGCCAGUGCAUUGGGCAAGCUGCAGAUGCCCAGUGCUGUAGGCCGCAGCUCCUGAUGCAGCACAGCCUAAGCAGGCAGCCCUGGGCACAGGGAGCCAUGCAGACUAGCCUGGAAGGCUAUGACGGAGACCACCUGAAGUGAAGGCGGCUCCUCUCCAACAGGGACACUGAUUCUCAGUGCCCAGCAGGAUCACCCAGGAGUCACCAGCAUCCCCAUCCAUCACUCCAGAAGGAGGCAUUCUGUCUGCAAUUAGCAUGACCUCCAUCAGCUUUGAGUGCACUAUAACUGGAGCUUACUCCACAGUUCAUUCCUUGGCCCCCUGACCCACCUGCCUCCAUAACCACAGCAGCUCUCAGAAACCAGCUUCUGCUGCUCAGGUGCACCUGCCACCCUUGCUCUGAUGAGCAGGAAGAACUCAACAGAGCAAGUGGCACCUUUUUAUUCCACCCUGGAACAUGCUCAAGGAACUGACUCUAGACUCUGACAUGACAUCUGGCCAUCCAUCCCAAAAGCACAAUGCUCAGUUCCCAAGAGUCAGUAAGUUACAUCAAAGUCCUGAUAGCAAACUCCAGACAUUAAUCUAGAGAAAGGUUAAUGUCACAAGACCGAAAAGGGCAGGAUACAAAGCAGAAUAUAAUUUAUGAUUCCAA
This is a non-coding RNA of Ictidomys tridecemlineatus (thirteen-lined ground squirrel), 4019 nucleotides long. The record is from RefSeq and is a predicted model, not a curated record. NCBI's taxonomy places the organism in Eukaryota, Metazoa, Chordata, Mammalia, Rodentia, Sciuridae.